This 115-nucleotide unclassified non-coding RNA is filed under the name uncultured fungus. RNAcentral's name for it is "sequence contains ITS1". Lineage: Eukaryota; Fungi. The record is from RNAcentral.
GAGGGUGUCCUCUCACAUAAUAAUCCAUCUCACCCUUUGUGCAUCACCGCGUGGGCACCCCUUUGGGAUCGGACCGAUCUCGGAAGGGGGGUUCACGUUUUCACACAAACCCCCC